RNAcentral lists this ribosomal RNA (498 nucleotides) under uncultured Nitrospira sp. RNAcentral's name for it is "bacterial SSU rRNA". It matches the Rfam family "Bacterial small subunit ribosomal RNA", at positions 8 to 492 of the family's 1533-position model. The record is from RNAcentral. Lineage: Bacteria; Pseudomonadati; Nitrospirota; Nitrospiria; Nitrospirales; Nitrospiraceae.
AGAGUUUGAUCCUGGCUCAGAAUGAACGCUGGCGGCGCGCCUAAUACAUGCAAGUCGAGCGAGAAGACGUAGCAAUACGUUUGUAAAGCGGCGAACGGGUGAGGAAUACAUGGGUAACCUACCCUCGAGUGGGGAAUAACUAGCCGAAAGGUUAGCUAAUACCGCGUACGCUCCUUGGACUUCGGUUCAGGGAGGAAAGCGAUACCGUGGGUAUCGCGCUCUUGGUUGGGCUCAUGUCCUAUCAGCUUGUUGGUGAGGUAACGGCUCACCAAGGCUUCGACGGGUAGCUGGUCUGAGAGGACGAUCAGCCACACUGGCACUGCGACACGGGCCAGACUCCUACGGGAGGCAGCAGUAAGGAAUAUUGCGCAAUGGGCGAAAGCCUGACGCAGCGACGCCGCGUGGGGGAUGAAGGUCUUCGGAUUGUAAACCCCUGUCGAGAGGGACGAAGGUUUGAAGGCGAACAGUCUUCAAACUUGACGGUACCUCGAGAGAGCC